GUAAUGUCUGGGAAACUGCCUGAUGGAGGGGGAUAACUACUGGAAACGGUAGCUAAUACCGCAUAACGUCGCAAGACCAAAGAGGGGGACCUUCGGCCUCUUGCCAUCAGAUGUGCCCAGAUGGGAUUAGCUAGUAGGUGGGGUAACGGCUCACCUAGGCGACGAUCCCUAGCUGGUCUGAGAGGAUGACCAGCCACACUGGAACUGAGACACGGUCCAGACUCCUACGGGAGGCAGCAUG
This 241-nucleotide ribosomal RNA is filed under the name uncultured bacterium. RNAcentral's name for it is "partial 16S ribosomal RNA". It matches the Rfam family "Bacterial small subunit ribosomal RNA", at positions 110 to 353 of the family's 1533-position model. The record is from RNAcentral.